RNAcentral lists this transfer RNA (87 nucleotides) under Thiohalobacter thiocyanaticus. RNAcentral describes it as "gamma proteobacterium HRh1 tRNA". It matches the Rfam family "tRNA". From Rfam's summary of the family: Transfer RNA (tRNA) molecules are approximately 80 nucleotides in length. The record is from Rfam by way of RNAcentral. Lineage: Bacteria; Pseudomonadati; Pseudomonadota; Gammaproteobacteria; Thiohalobacterales; Thiohalobacteraceae.
GGAGGGGUGGCUGAGCGGUUGAAAGCACCGGUCUUGAAAACCGGCGAGGUUUAACGACCUCCGUGGGUUCGAAUCCCACCCCCUCCG